RNAcentral lists this ribosomal RNA (499 nucleotides) under uncultured bacterium. RNAcentral's name for it is "partial 16S ribosomal RNA". It matches the Rfam family "Bacterial small subunit ribosomal RNA", at positions 28 to 507 of the family's 1533-position model. The record is from RNAcentral.
GACGAACGCUGGCGGCGUGCCUAAUACAUGCAAGUCGAGCGAAAUGUUUCUGGUGCUUGCGCGGGAAAAACUUAGCGGCGAACGGGUGAGUAACACGUAAAGAACCUUCCUCAUAGACUUGGACAACGAUUGGUAACGAUAGCUAAGACCAGAUAACAGCAUUAACUGCAGGGUUGAGGUUUAAAAGGUGGGUUGGCUAACACUAUGAGAUGUCUUUGCGGGUCAUUAGCUAGUUGGUGGGGUAAAGGCCUACCAAGGCGACGGUGCAUAACCGAACUGAGAGGGUGAUAGCCCACCCUGGAGGUGAACCACGCCCAAGAGUACUACGGGAGGCAGCAGUAGGGAAUGUUCCGCAAUGGUCGGAAGCCUUACGGAGCAACGCCGCGUGAGUGAAGAAGGAUUUCGGUUCGUAAAGCUGUGUUGUUAGGGAAGAAUGAUUGUGUCGUAACACUACACAGUAGAGACGGUACCUAAUCAGAAAGCCACGGCUAACUACGUG